CACAGUAGGUGCUGCAGAAAUGCUAAGACGCCUACAAGGGUUAAAGACAGAAAUCUAUUUCUCGGGGGUGGAGUCCUUGAGAGCAUGGGGGAGGUCCUGGGUUUGAUUGCCGGCACCACACACACACACACACACACACACACACACACACACACGCACGCAUGCACGCGCGCGUGUGCGCGCUCACGAAAUGAUUUUUGCUGUGUAAAAAUGUUUUUUUUCUGGUGGAGGCUGUUACUUUGAGGAGAGGCUUGCAGACCCCAACAUGACAAGGGACCUGCCCCAGGGAGAGGGGCUGGCCUCGUGUCCCCAGCCAUCUGGUGAACCCUGACACAGCCUGCUCGAGGCCUCCAGCGGCUCACUCCCCAGACCCGGUGCCAGCCGUUCCCACACCUCCUGCCACUCGGCCCAGCUUGCUCUGACCACCAGAGAAGUGGUCUCCAUGGCGACCUUGGGCCUUAAGGAAUCCUAACACAUCCACUGAUGCUGACAAAAGUCUCUGAGAAUCCAAGCCGGCUCUCCUGUAUGCAGGUGUAAUGACCCAGAUCAAAGAGCGUUUGUAACGAAGACCUCUGGCUGUGCAAGGACCCGGCAGGCUUCUCCUCAGCCUGAGCCUUUUCCUAAAACUCAAGAAGAUGAUUCUUUCCCUCCGGAGCCCCCGCAGCACAGCCCCUUGAGGCCUCCUCUUCUCCCUGUUUGUCCCCUGCUUUCCUGAGGGCUCCAGGUGUCAGGAAGAGAAGAGAAAGUUUCCAGUGCUGAGGGUUGAACCCAGGCCCUUGACCAUGCUAGCACCAUGUGUCACACGGAGGGAUCAUGGUUUAUUCAGGGGCUCAUCGGCUGAUGGACAUUGUGCUGUUUCUACCUUAUUGACCAACACAGCCUUCAGACCCGGAUCCAGCGUCUCUUCCUCCGGAAGUCUUCCCUGACUCCCUGGGAUGGGUCAUGGCUCCACUGCACACGGCCCCGCCACAUGGUGUAAUCUAAUGUUUGUGCGAUUAUUCAAUUAGCAUCUCUGCACGGGCCGCCUGGAAGAUCCAUGACAGCGCCGGCCAUGUUUGUCUUGCCCUCCUUUCUUCACCUGUGCCCAGCAAAGAGCCAGGCACAAACGUGUUUGUGGGAGAAUCUUCGAGCCAUCUCUGAGAUCAGUCUGCCUCACAGGUGGACAACGGUCUGCAGAGAGCCCCCAGAAUGACCAAAGAUGGUUUGGGAAAAGUCCGAAACUCCUCAAUUUAACUUCUGUGUAAACUGAGCUUCCCACUGCCUCUGUUGCGAGAAAGAAUCAGCAGUGAAUGCUUUCCGAGCUGCCCUGGGCCCGCACCUUCAGCACUCUGUACAGCUUUUGUUCCUGUGGGCUCAGAGCAGAAUACCAAUGUGGAUUUAUAUGCAGACAUUUGUCUUCCCUGUAGCCUUAUGAGCA
Molecule: long non-coding RNA, 1417 nt
Filed under: Heterocephalus glaber (naked mole-rat)
Lineage: Eukaryota; Metazoa; Chordata; Mammalia; Rodentia; Bathyergidae
Description: lncRNA (ENSHGLG00000041968.1)
Source: RNAcentral